UACGGGGGGGGCAAGCGUUGUUCGGAAUUACUGGGCGUAAAGGGCGCGUAGGCGGCCUUCUAAGUCGGACGUGAAAUCCCUCGGCUUAACCGAGGAACUGCGUCCGAUACUGAAAGGCUUGAAUCCGGGAGAGGGAUGUGGAAUUCCAGGUGUAGCGGUGAAAUGCGUAGAUAUCGGGAGGAACACCAGUGGCGAGGGCGACUACCUGGCCUGUUCUUGACGCUGAGGCGCGAAAGCUAGGGGAGCAAACGGG
This 253-nucleotide ribosomal RNA is filed under the name uncultured bacterium. RNAcentral describes it as "partial 16S ribosomal RNA". It matches the Rfam family "Bacterial small subunit ribosomal RNA", at positions 524 to 776 of the family's 1533-position model. The record is from RNAcentral.